RNAcentral lists this small RNA (28 nucleotides) under Bombyx mori (domestic silkworm). Its description in RNAcentral is "ovarian small RNA-35004". Lineage: Eukaryota; Metazoa; Arthropoda; Insecta; Lepidoptera; Bombycidae. The record is from RNAcentral.
UGGGCAAUUUUAAAAUGCCAGAUGCUCC